Bos taurus (domestic cattle) is the source of this 483-nucleotide long non-coding RNA. NCBI's taxonomy places the organism in Eukaryota, Metazoa, Chordata, Mammalia, Artiodactyla, Bovidae. The record is from Ensembl.
AACCACAUGAAAGUACUGGAGCAUAGACGGGGUGCCACCCGGGGCCUUAGAAGGUCCUGAGCAACCGAGCUUCAUUAACUUCAUGGGAAUUCUCCCUCUGCUUGUAGACUAUUGGGGUGAAGUUGCAUCCUUAGGGAUUACUUCCUCCACCUCCACACCUGCACACUUCUCUGUGGGCAGGGCCCCUGGGCAUGGGGAUAAAGACUAAUCCAGCAGGAGGAAGACUGGAAAGGUCCCUGCUUUGGGGACCUCCCAAAUUGAAAUUAAUCACAGCUAGCAUUUACUUCUCACUCGGUGCUCUGCACUGUUGUAAGAGCUAUGUGGAUAUUGACCCAUUUAAUCCUCCCAAUCACUCCAUAAAAAUAAAAAGGAGAAAAGGCUGUCUCACAGAUGAUAUUCCAAGAGCAUCCCUUCCUCAGGGCCCUUCUAUUAUACUUGCUGUUUCUACCUACCUGCUACAGUCUCCACUUAGAUGCCUGCCUG